CCGGAAGUUCCGGCGAGUGUUUGUGUGUGUGUGUGUGUGUUGGUGCUCUUGGACAGGUCAAUGGAUAUGACUGUAGGUGGAACUGGACUCCAGGAUGCAGUGCAUCGAGAUCCUGUCCAGUUCAAGCUAAAAAUGGAUGCACUCGAAAAACCAGUUAACCGGAAGUUCCAGCGAAUGAUUGUGUGUGUGUUGGUGCUAUUGGACAAAUCACUGGAUAUGUUUGGUUGAAUAUGGAUUACUGGAUAUACAUACAUAUAUGGAAAUGUCAUCGUUCACGACUCCAGAGCAUCGGAAACUUCUUCAGAUAAAAAACUGAAUAUUUAUGGCGAAAAAGGGACUCUGCUUUUGGUCAAGAAUAUUCUUUUUACCAUGGGAUCCAAAGUUGAGUUAUACACAAUGUUUUGGCCUUGAAACUCAAUACAGUCUCCUUCGCCUUCGACUAAUGUCAAUCAAUUACGAGGAGUACACCAGUAAUGCCGCAAUAAAGCGGGCUUACCAGGAGAUAUCGAUGACGCGGAUCACCUCCAGUUGCCAGAUCAACCAGCCCAGAGGACUCUCUCGCAUGUGGGUGGGCCAGGAUCGAUUCCUAAUCCCAUUGCCCAUUGUACGAACGUGGAUGCAUUGUGCAACAGCGGAAACACGAUCGAGCAGCCAUUUCCAUCAACGGAUAAUCUCCGUCAAACAUCUGCAGAAAUAUGGAAUAUCAUAAUAUUCCAGCGAGUCAAACAACAGAUGAGAUUCGAUCCCGAACUCGAAUCUCGAAGUGCACAAAGGAAUGCCAAAAUCGUAGAGCAUCUACCCAAGGAACCUCCUUUGUUGCCCUCGCAUUGUACCAGAGUAUCUUGUGUAAUUAUGGCGUAAUUGCUGGGCAUUGUUUGGUCAGAUAGAUGGAGU
Long non-coding RNA from Drosophila biarmipes, 894 nucleotides. RefSeq lists it as uncharacterized. The record is from RefSeq and is a predicted model, not a curated record. NCBI's taxonomy places the organism in Eukaryota, Metazoa, Arthropoda, Insecta, Diptera, Drosophilidae. The transcript has 3 exons.